This 68-nucleotide transfer RNA is filed under the name Ovis aries (sheep). It matches the Rfam family "tRNA". Rfam says of the family: Transfer RNA (tRNA) molecules are approximately 80 nucleotides in length. Lineage: Eukaryota; Metazoa; Chordata; Mammalia; Artiodactyla; Bovidae. The record is from Rfam by way of RNAcentral.
CCUGGUGGCUCAGUGGUAAAGAAUCUGCCUGAAAUGCAGGAGACCCGGGUUCGAUCCCUGGGUCAGGA